RNAcentral lists this non-coding RNA (123 nucleotides) under Halanaerobium praevalens. RNAcentral describes it as "FMN sequence". It matches the Rfam family "FMN riboswitch aptamer (RFN element)". From Rfam's summary of the family: The RFN element is a highly conserved domain that is found frequently in the 5'-untranslated regions of prokaryotic mRNAs that encode for flavin mononucleotide (FMN) biosynthesis and transport proteins. This element is a metabolite-dependent riboswitch that directly binds FMN in the absence of proteins. Lineage: Bacteria; Bacillati; Bacillota; Clostridia; Halanaerobiales; Halanaerobiaceae. RNAcentral also lists the same sequence under 1 other name. The record is from RNAcentral.
UAUUAUCUUCAGGGUCUGGUGAGCGAAAAAGCAAUUCCAAACCGGUGGUUAUAGUCCACGAGCAUGAGCUGAACUGGUGUAAUUCCAGUACCGACGGUAAAGUCCGGAAUAAAGAAGAUUAAA